UACAGAGGGGGCAAGCGUUGUUCGGAAUUACUGGGCGUAAAGGGCGCGUAGGCGGCCGGGUUGGUCGUGGGUGAAAUCCCCCAGCUUAACUGGGGAACUGCCUACGAUACUGCCUGGCUCGAGGGAGGAAGGGGCGGUCGGAACUGUCGGUGGAGCGGUGAAAUGCGUUGAUAUCGACAGGAACGCCGGUGGCGAAAGCGGACCGCUGGCCCUCUUCUGACGCUGAGGCGCGAAAGCCAGGGGAGCGAACGGG
This 253-nucleotide ribosomal RNA is filed under the name uncultured bacterium. RNAcentral's name for it is "partial 16S ribosomal RNA". It matches the Rfam family "Bacterial small subunit ribosomal RNA", at positions 524 to 776 of the family's 1533-position model. The record is from RNAcentral.